AUCCAUCAAAAACCCAACACUCUAUACUUUUUCAGUCAUUUUCAUCUGCUCAGUCACUUUCAUCUCCUUUACUCAUCUGUAAGUCACUUUCAUCUCCUUUUACUUAUUUGAUUCAUCUUCUCAACUAACUUGGUAAAUUUUUUUCUCAUCUCCUUUCCAUCUCUUUUCAAAAUUUCGGAUUUCAUGCUGAAAUUUUUUGUAGGUUCCAUUAUUGUUCAUUCAAACUUCUAUCAAGAAUUUCUUUAUCAGUUUUUUUUCAUCUACUUUGAAUGUUCUAAUUUCAGAUCUGAAUAUCUCCUACUUUUUUCCCCAAGAACUAAUUUAUCAAUUUUUUUCAUCUACUUUGGUAGUUCCAAUUUCAGAUCCGAUUUUUCAUUUACUCAGUGUAAAAAUCGAUAGUUACUAGUUGUUAAAGGGUAUCAUAAUUUAAGCUCUCUGUUGUCCUACUUUUCACUUGGAAUUUUAGGGUAGAACCUAUUUUAAUCUAAAGAGGAUAUGAUAAUUACUAUGGCUAAUAAAAGCAAUUGAGUAGUAAGUCAUUCAUCAAGUCUUGGUGCUUUCUAUUUUCAUAAAAUAGGAAGUACAAAAAAAAGGAGUAGAAAAAAAUUAAGUUAGGUGAUUAUGGGUGGAUGAAAUGCUUUUUGAUUUGGUUAACGUCGGAAAGUUGCGGAAGAAAGAGAUGUUUUAUUUUUUCUGUAUUUUCCUAUAUUUUUUUUCCCUUUUUAGCCUUUGGAUUCUUUAGCCUAUAAGAAAAUAUAUCAGAUAGAUUUUGAUACCAGAAAAGGUGCUGGUACACAAUCUUCCUUUCAUUAAAAGUAUAAAGAGAAAGGUUAAAUGUAUAGCUCUAAAUAAACAAUACUAAAUACUGUACAUUAAAUGUAUGUAGAGAAUAGAAACAUGGGUUAAAGAAACAAGAAAAAAAAUAGUAUAUAGGAAUGACUGAACAAGAGGGGAAAAAAGGAGUUUCUAGGUAUUACUCCAUCCAUUUUAUUUAAUGUGAUAUUGUUUAUUUAGACCAUCUCUAAAAAACGAUGCAUUUUUUUUGUUAAAAGUUUUACCUUUAAAUUUUCCAUUUUCCAUGGUACUUUUGAUACGGUAAUUUUUUUUAAAAUUUCAUACUGAAUCAUAUACAAAUGGUUAUCGUUCAUUGAAAAAGAAAAGAUAUUUCCUUUCUUCCAAUUAACGUGAUCCUAUAUCAUUUUUGGUACGUUAAAAUAGAAAUGAUCCCUUUUUAAAUUUAAAAAUAAUUUAAUGUAAACUUCUCAUUUUAGCUUUUCUUUGACCAAUAAUCAGCAAAGCGGCUAAUAAUUUUUAAGUACAUUUAAUGUUUGUAGCAUUACAUGAACUAAUCUUGAAUUACAUGGAAAGUGAAUGCUCAAUAUGUUUGGGAUCCUAUGAAGACAAGAAAUUGUUAAAGUUAUGCCUAAAUGUUAUCACAGAUUUCAUUCUCCAUGCCUUGAUAAGUGACUUGGUAAUCUUUAAAUUUGUCCCCUUUGAAGAUCUUCUAUUGAUUCUUCUACUAGCAUUUUAAGCUGUCCGAAUUGAUACUCAUCUACCUAAGUUAUGCAUGCAGAUACAAAUUUCAUCUCUAUUAUAUAGGAAUUGAUUCAAACAAUGACGAUAUUAAGAUAUAAACAAUAUAUUUACUCUUGUAAUUUUGAAUAUUAUCUAUCUUUUUCUGUUUGUGGUUGCCUAUUAUUGAUACUUUUCUAUAUUUAUUUUAUUUUCCUUAUAGGACUCACUCUCUGUUGUGAUAGCUGCGUGUUCGCGCGUUUUAGUAGCAAAUCACUGUGUGAUAAGUACUGCUCUUCUACUAGAUUUAUUUAUUUUUAAUAUUUUUCUCUUACCUUCUUCGUAUUAAGGAGGAGGUGUUGACCAGAACAUCUAAAGUUUUUGAUUUUGAAAAUAGCAUUCCCUCUCUAUCUUAGGCGUUUGUCAUUUAUUUUUUUUUAUUAUUGUUUUUGAUGAGUAAAGAAUUUACUCAUUUUAUUCAUUUCAGGCCAUCUCAUCAUACUUUAACUCUUUUCAACUAAAAGGUAAUCUAUUCUAUUCAGAAUCAGAUAUGAAAUUUAUAUCAUUAUCGGAGUUGCUUUUGUUUGUGAUAUAUGUCAGUAUGAUUAAACUUACAUUACUCAUAAGCAUAUCAUUAUAUGUAGCUAAAAUUUUAGUGUUUUCCUUUUUAAGCCUUAGUAAUAAGAAAAAUAUCUUGGCAAUAGAUAAACUGCCUUAAUGGCAAAUAGAAACCAUGAAAAUGACCAGAUCUUUGGAAAAUCACAUGCUGACAAAAGGGCUAGGAGACGCGAAUUAUAUAGACUGAUGCCACCUGAUAAAAAAGAGGCCCUUUUGGCACGACGGCGUGCAAACAGAGCUGAAUUAAAAAGACGACGGUCUACUGAAUCUUCAAUUAGUAUUGAUGCAGCUAACGCAUCAACCUCUAAUGCUGUCAAUGUUUCUACCAACCAAAGUUCUCUUAUUAUAAAAGAUCCAUUGGCUUUUUUAAGGAAAAGAACAGGUAUGACUAAAAAUUAAGGUUUGUUUAAACUACAUCUACUCAGAACAGUAGUGAUUACCUUUUUUUUUUUGGGUUAAUAAUCUACUCAAUACUAGAGUUUUCAUAUGCAAGGAAUGUUUUCACAGAACCUGGUUGUUCAAGUAGUAUGCAAGCAGAAAAUACUUAUGUUAAAUUAAAAGAAGUACCGAAAUGCCAAUUUUGUGGAGCAAAAAAAAUUUGAAUAUGAACCACCUGCAUUCUGUUGUGGUAACGGUUCUAUUCAACUAAUUUCACAUGAAAUGCCAACAGAGUUAAGAAACCUUUAUUUGGGAAAUAGUGAGGAAUCAAAACAUUUUCGAACUUACACUAGAACAUACAAUAACAUAUUUGCGUUCACAUCCCUUGGUGUUUCUUAUGAUAAAGAGCUAGCAAAAAGAAAUAAUGGUAUCUAUACAUUCCGUGUUCAAGGGCAAAUAUAUCAUAGAAAGUGCAAAUAAGAGGACACCUUCUUGAUAAUUCAUGGGUUGUUCCUUAUAAUCCAUAUUUACUUUAUAAGUUCAACUCUCAUAUGAAUGUAGAGAUUUGCUCUGAUAUUAAAGUUGUUAAGUAUAUUUAUAAGUAUAUUUGCAAAGGACAUGAUAAAAUUGCAUUUCAUAUACAUGCUAAUAAUACAAACAUAGAGAUAGAUGAAAUAAAGGAAUACCAAUCUGCUAGGUGGGUGUCACCACUUGAGGCUGCAUGGCGUAUAUUUGCUUUCCCUAUUAGUGAAAUAUUUCCGAAUUAUAUCAUCUUCAACUACAUCUUGAUGGACAACAACUUGUUUCCUUCAAGAAUACGGACAAUAUUAGUAAAAUUGUGAACAAUCCUAUGGUUAAAAAAACAAUGUUAACUGAGUUUUUUUAAUGAAUCGAGAAAACAAAGGUGCUAUGGACUUAAAUUUAUUAUAUCGAGAAUUUCCAGAAUACUUUGUAUGGUCAACAACAGAUAAAACAUGGAUACGUCGUCAACGGGGAAGUGCUAUUGGUCUCUUUUUUUUGCCAACAGAUAUAUGAAAGAUAUAUGUUAGCCUCUUUUUUUUUUUUUUGCAAAAAGAUAUAUGUUAGCCUCAAUUGAGGAGGAAAUGACUGCUUCUGGUAAAAGGACCUCUAUAUGCUGCUAAAGUUCUGAGAUUAUUCUAAUGUUAACCUUUAACUUUAGAUGCCGAGAAUUUGUAUCUUCGUCUCAAAUAAGAAGACAUGACUAUUUCCCUCUUUUAACAAAAAAAUAACUGGGACAUGGCUUAUUCUACUAUAUAAGAAUCUCUAUUUCUUCCUAAGUUGCGAGAAUUUUCUAAUUCCUUAUAUUUUGUCGUAGCCUCAGUUGGAAAUUAGAAGUAGUUCUACAUUCUUUUUCGCGUAAAAUCUAAUGCUACAUUGAUAUAUCCUGAGCUAGGAGUCAUCGUGGCAAUUUAUUUCAGGUGUUCCUUCAGUUUGGAGAUUCUAUUAGCCGAUCAUGUUUUGCAAAUUAUGUUAGAUUUCUCAUAAGCCGCUCAAAAUAGUUCACCACAAGAGGGGUAAAAGCUUUAUUAAAUUUUUGUGAAUUGUGCAUAUUGUUCCAAUAGCAGGUAGAUCGAUCACCUUCUACUUAUAUAAUGUUAUUGCUCUAUGUCAACUACAUUUUAUCUCCUUUCAGAAAGUGUGAGUUCAAAAUAAAUUACUUUCAAUAGUUGUCGAAGAAGAUACAUAAGGAGUUGCUAAUUUUUUUCUUGUCUGUGGAAUAUCAAGUGUUUUGGGAAGUGAGGGAGCACCGUUGUUUCUAAAUGCUGCUUUAUUCUUGGAGCGUUGAUCUUUCUUUAGCCUUUCUGGUUCUUUAAAUUGUAUCUAUAGAAUUAUUGAUAAACUUCGAUUCAUGACUAUUUCAAUUUGCAUUACACUUGUUUCAUGUUUCACAUAUCCAAUUCUCUGGCAAAGUUAUGACUAGGGAUAAGUUUUCCAACACAUUGUAUGAUCGUGCAUUAAUUUAUGCUGUAUGAGAGCAUUCAUACAAUUUUAACUGUGCUGAGAAGCCCUUUUGGAAUAGGAUUAAUGCACUAAAAGAAAAAUAUUAUUUCUACCAGAUGACCAAAUAAUAUCCUUAUCAACUAUUGUAAUGGCUUAAAUAGGUGGCCAUUGAUGCAUUUAAUAUUGGUGUGCAGGUUGGAUGGAGUAGGAUGUGAGCUUUGUCUCUUAUUAGCUCUGUGAGUGCUGUCUCUUUAUCAGCGCACAUUUACACAAGGAAACCUCACAUUUGUUAAAGUUCAACUCUUGAAAAUAAAUUGUAUCUCUUGUAAGUCUCCCAUAAGUAAAGAUAUAUAUUUGUUUGUUCGUGUUUGAUGAUCAAUCGUUUCAAGAAUUCUGUGACAUGGUCUUUUGUUCACCUUAAUCUUUUGCAUGAUGGAGAAUCGUUCUAACAAUCCAAUGACACUUUUAUGUAUUGUACUGUUUUAUCAUAUCUGAAUUUACAUGGCUACA
Molecule: long non-coding RNA, 4980 nt
Filed under: Nicotiana tabacum (common tobacco)
Lineage: Eukaryota; Viridiplantae; Streptophyta; Magnoliopsida; Solanales; Solanaceae
Description: long non-coding RNA (NTAB_LNC015258)
Source: RNAcentral